AGAGUUUGAUCCUGGCUCAGAACGAACGCUGGCGGCAGGCUUAACACAUGCAAGUCGAACGCAUCCUUCGGGGUGAGUGGCAGACGGGUGAGUAACGCGUGGGAACGUGCCCUUCAGUUCGGAAUAACCCAGGGAAACUUGGGCUAAUACCGGAUACGUGCGAGAGCAGAAAGAUUUAUCGCUGAAGGAUCGGCCCGCGUCUGAUUAGCUAGUUGGUGAGGUAAUGGCUCACCAAGGCGACGAUCAGUAGCUGGUCUGAGAGGAUGAUCAGCCACAUUGGGACUGAGACACGGCCCAAACUCCUACGGGAGGCAGCAGUGGGGAAUAUUGGACAAUGGGCGCAAGCCUGAUCCAGCCAUGCCGCGUGAGUGAUGAAGGCCUUAGGGUUGUAAAGCUCUUUCGUCCGGGACGAUAAUGACGGUACCGGAAGAAGAAGCCCCGGCUAACUUCGUGCCAGCAGCCGCGGUAAUACGAAGGGGGCUAGCGUUGUUCGGAAUCACUGGGCGUAAAGGGCGCGUAGGCGGCUUGAUAAGUCGGGGGUGAAAGCCUGUGGCUCAACCACAGAAUUGCCUUCGAUACUGUCUGGCUUGAGACCGGAAGAGGUAAGUGGAACUGCGAGUGUAGAGGUGAAAUUCGUAGAUAUUCGCAAGAACACCAGUGGCGAAGGCGGCUUACUGGUCCGGUUCUGNNGCUGAGNNGCGAAAGCGUGGGGAGCAAACAGGAUUAGAUACCCUAGUAGUCC
RNAcentral lists this ribosomal RNA (742 nucleotides) under uncultured bacterium. RNAcentral's name for it is "bacterial SSU rRNA". It matches the Rfam family "Bacterial small subunit ribosomal RNA", at positions 8 to 796 of the family's 1533-position model. The record is from RNAcentral.